Molecule: ribosomal RNA, 120 nt
Filed under: Streptomyces nobilis
Lineage: Bacteria; Bacillati; Actinomycetota; Actinomycetes; Kitasatosporales; Streptomycetaceae
Description: partial 16S rRNA
Rfam family: Bacterial small subunit ribosomal RNA
Source: RNAcentral
UCUAAUACCGGAUAACACCCCCUCUCGCAUGGGAGGGGGUUCAAAGCUCCGGCGGUGCAGGAUGAGCCCGCGGCCUAUCAGCUUGUUGGUGAGGUAGUGGCUCACCAAGGCGACGACGGG